CGGUUAAGUAAAGUAAGAGCGCAUAGUGGAUGCCUUGGCGAAAGCCGCAAGAAGAAGGACGUGCUAAGCUGCGAUAAUCCACGGGGAGGUGCAAAGAACCUUUGAUCCGUGGGACUCCGAAUGGGGAAACCCAUCCUGAUGAGAAUCAGGAUACAGUACGAUGAAUUCAUAGUCGUAUUGAUAUAACCCAGGGAAUUGAAACAUCUUAGUACCUGGAGGAAUAGAAAUCAAUUGAGAUUGCGUUAGUAGUGGCGAGCGAACGCGCAACAGCCUAAACCUUUUUUGAGUAAUCAGAAAAGGGGUUGCAGGAUCCAUCUCCAUUUAAUUGGGAUGAGUGAUCAACCAAAUUCUUAAUCGAAGAGCCUGGAAAGGCUCACCAUAGAAGGUGACAGUCCUGUAGGUGAAAAGAAUUUGGCUUAUGAUGGACACCUAAGUACCGUCGGACACGUGGUAUCCGGCGGGAAUCCGGGGGGCCCACCCCCCAAGGCUAAAUACGAGCUUUCGACCGAUAGUGUACUAGUACCGUGAGGGAAAGGCGAAAAGAACCCGGAAACGGGAGUGAAAUAGAACCUGAAACUGUGCGUUUACAAGCUGUGGAAGACCUAUGGUUUCCGAUUUAUCGGAGACAAUGGUCAACUGCGUGCCUGUUGAAGAAUGAUCCGGCGAGUUGAUGAGUCGAGCAAGGUUAACCUUGAUGUGCAAGCAUCCUGGGAGCCGAAGCGAAAGCAAGUCCGAAAGGGCGAUACAGUUCGAUUUAUCAGACCCGAAACCAAGUGAUCUAACCCUGUCCAGAGUGAAGUCUCGGUAAUACGAGAUGGAGGCUCGGAGUGUUGAAUGUUGAAAAAUUCCUACAUGAGGUGGGGUUAGGGGCGAAAGGCCAAUCUAACUUGGAGAUAGCUGGUU
RNAcentral lists this ribosomal RNA (903 nucleotides) under Elusimicrobia bacterium RIFCSPLOWO2_12_FULL_39_28. RNAcentral's name for it is "bacterial LSU rRNA". It matches the Rfam family "Bacterial large subunit ribosomal RNA", at positions 1 to 854 of the family's 2925-position model. The record is from RNAcentral. Lineage: Bacteria; Pseudomonadati; Elusimicrobiota.